UGACAAAGUGUUGAGGCUAAUUCAGGGCUGUUUCCCUGUUCUGGUAAUUAAACUUUGGGACAUUAAGACAUAAGCUGGGAGAGAUGAUUGGGUAGAAGGUAUUUCUCUAUAUCCCUCCUAGCCUACAAAA
Sorex fumeus (smoky shrew) is the source of this 130-nucleotide small nucleolar RNA. The record is from RefSeq and is a predicted model, not a curated record. NCBI's taxonomy places the organism in Eukaryota, Metazoa, Chordata, Mammalia, Eulipotyphla, Soricidae.